Astatotilapia calliptera (eastern happy) is the source of this 1047-nucleotide long non-coding RNA. Lineage: Eukaryota; Metazoa; Chordata; Actinopteri; Cichliformes; Cichlidae. The record is from Ensembl.
CACACACACACACACACAGACACACACACACACAGCCAGCUGACUCAGGCAGACUGAGGGGCUGGGGCUGGUGGUUGUGUUGGUGCCUGGGGCCCUGGCGGGUUUGUUUGUGGUUUGUUUGCCGGGGCGGUGGGGGGUGAGAGGUUUACCCACAGCGCUCUCCCUGGCACCAGCCUGUCCCGGAGGAGAAAAAACAGCCGUUGUUCCGAGACGGAUGCUGCUUCUUUGGGGAUGUGGCCAGGACAGAUAUGUGUGUUGACCCAGAGUGAGAUCUAAAACCUGCAUCGCAGCCUGGAGUUGGACACCCCUGGCUUAAGAGAUAAGAGGUGUAAAAUGGCAGCUGGUGGAGGUGGACAAAAGAAAGUGAUCUGUGAGCACUCGAGUAACAAAGUAUCACUCGCUACGGCUUUUGUGCAGACUCUCACAAUGGCCUCUGUGAUAUGGAUCCCUCUCAGACGAGCAAAGUGGCCACCUAUUGUGAGAGGCGAGCACGCAGGACCCGAGACGAGCCUCUCUCCUCACUGCAGCUACAGUAAUUAUGAUGAUAAUGCUUUUUUUUUUUUCAGGAUUUCAGCAAGGCUUCUCACUUUACUCAAAGGGUUUGGGAUUGGGCUGGAUUUAGGUCGACACGCUGGGAGGUGUUGAGAUUUUAGACAAGUUUCAAAAAUAAAAGCAAAAAAAAUGUUUGCUUUAUACUGAUUUUUUUAUCGCAUGAUGCUUUUUCAUAAAACUGAAUUUUGUACAGUGGUGAUGAUGAGUUUGCAUGUGGUAAUGUACUCUAAUUGAUUUAUAAAUAAUAAUAUUUGAGCUUUUAAAUGGAGCAAAGCCUACAAGGUAGUUUAAACAGAGAAAUCAAGCUCUUCCUCAUAUUGUAUAUACAACACACCCUCUUGAUUUUGAAAUGUUAUUCAGACUUAGUUUGGGGCAUUUGAGCCUUUAUUGUUGAAUCAUCUGGAAAGAUAGAAGAAAAGCCCUGGAAGAGUUCAGUUGCCACUGGCCACUUGAGUUGCCUCGUGGUGUAUGGAUCACCUACUCAACCUGAUGACC